AAGAAACUAAAAUUAAAAUAAUACACGACUAACAAAGGCCAGAGGCUCCUGACUUGGGACAGGCGCAAAAAUGCGGCGGGGUUAAACAUGUUUGUGAGAUCUCAACCCCCCCCCCCCUAAUACCUCUAACCAAUGUAGAAAAGUAAACGCAUAACAAUACGCACAUUAAAAUUCAGUUCAAGAGAAGUCCGAGUCUGAUGUCA
This 203-nucleotide long non-coding RNA is filed under the name Mytilus galloprovincialis (Mediterranean mussel). The record is from RNAcentral. Lineage: Eukaryota; Metazoa; Mollusca; Bivalvia; Mytilida; Mytilidae.